UACGUAGGCAGCAAGCGUUGUUCGGAGUUACUGGGCGUAAAGGGUGUGUAGGCGGUUGCUUAAGUUUGGUGUGAAAUCUCCCGGCUCAACUGGGAGGGUGCGCCGAAUACUGAGUGACUAGAGUGCGGGAGAGGAAAGUGGAAUUCCUGGUGUAGAGGUGGAAUUCGUAGAUAUCAGGAGGAACACCGGUGGUGUAGACGGCUUUCUGGACCGUAACUGACGCUGAGACACGAAAGCGUGGGUAGCAAACAGG
RNAcentral lists this ribosomal RNA (253 nucleotides) under uncultured bacterium. RNAcentral describes it as "partial 16S ribosomal RNA". It matches the Rfam family "Bacterial small subunit ribosomal RNA", at positions 524 to 776 of the family's 1533-position model. The record is from RNAcentral.